Molecule: ribosomal RNA, 368 nt
Filed under: Theileria capreoli
Lineage: Eukaryota; Apicomplexa; Aconoidasida; Piroplasmida; Theileriidae
Description: SSU rRNA
Rfam family: Eukaryotic small subunit ribosomal RNA
Source: RNAcentral
UACGGGGCUUAUGUCUUGUAUUGGAAUGAUGGGAAUUUAAACCUCUUCCAGAGUAUCAAUUGGAGGGCAAGUCUGGUGCCAGCAGCCGCGGUAAUUCCAGCUCCAAUAGCGUAUAUUAAAAUUGUUGCAGUUAAAAAGCUCGUAGUUGAAUUUCUGCUGCAUUGCAUUUUCUCCUAUACGAGUUUUUGCAUUGUGGCUUAUUUCGGUUAUAAAAUUUAUUUUUAUUUCCGGAUGUUUACUUUGAGAAAAUUAGAGUGCUCAAAGCAGGCUUUUGCCUUGAAUAGUUUAGCAUGGAAUAAUAAAGUAGGACUUUGGUUCUAUUUUGUUGGUUUUAGGUACCAAAGUAAUGGUUAAUAGGAACAGUUGGG